RNAcentral lists this ribosomal RNA (301 nucleotides) under uncultured bacterium. Its description in RNAcentral is "partial 16S ribosomal RNA". It matches the Rfam family "Bacterial small subunit ribosomal RNA", at positions 509 to 807 of the family's 1533-position model. The record is from RNAcentral.
CAGUAGCCGCGGGAAUACGGAGGGUGCAAGCGUUAAUCGGAAUUACUGGGCGUAAAGCGCACGCAGGCGGUCUGACAAGUCAGAUGUGAAAUCCCCGGGCUUAACCUGGGAACUGCAUUUGAAACUGUCAGGCUGGAGUCUUGUAGAGGGGGGUAGAAUUCCAGGUGUAGCGGUGAAAUGCGUAGAGAUCUGGAGGAAUACCGGUGGCGAAGGCGGCCCCCUGGACAAAGACUGACGCUCAGGUGCGAAAGCGUGGGGAGCAAACAGGAUUAGAGACCCGCGUAGUCCCUGUCUCUUAUAC